RNAcentral lists this long non-coding RNA (2737 nucleotides) under Podarcis lilfordi (Lilford's wall lizard). Lineage: Eukaryota; Metazoa; Chordata; Lepidosauria; Squamata; Lacertidae. The record is from RNAcentral.
GGAACACAAUGGCAUUCUCUGGAUUAUAUUUAUACUCUUGACCUUGGCUUACUUCUUGGAUCUACAGAUAUAUUCUUAUGCAGCUUUUCUUCCUCUCAUGCAUUCCAGAUGUUUUGGACUCCAAUGACCACCAACAUGGCCAACAGUGAGGCAUGAUGGGAGCUGUAGUCCAGAACUUCUGAUGGACAGUAAGCUGGAGAAGUAUGUGUUUGUGAAUCACUGUCAGAAUUCACAUGACAACAUCCACCAUAUUUUUGACAUUCCACUGUAACAUCCUUAUAAACUAUAUUUAAUUCUUAGGAGGGAAUGAUAGGGGACUUUAUAGCUAUGUAUAUGGAAUGAUCAGUUAUCUUUGUAUCUUUAGGUAGACUCCUCUUUCUGUAGUGAAUUUUGGCCUUGUCACAGUAUCAUCUUAGAAAUUCCAUUUCUAGUUCAUUCCCCUUCUGACUGGUGCUUUGCUUUUUAUGGUGCAGGCUGAGGCCUCAUUGCUAUAGCACAAGUGGCUUUCAUGUACUAGGCAAAUAUAAUUGCAUCACAUCCAAACAACUUUGUACCACUUAAUUUUGGAAACAUCCAACACCAGCAGCUGUGCAUACGAGUAUAGAAUAUGGAUGAACAAAUCUGUCAAUUUUGGUUUCUCGUUUCUCUUAACAGCAUCAUAAGCUCAGUUCACCACAUUCCCACAGAGAAGUCAUAAAUAUUGUUAGCAUUUUAGUGUGCAUUUCUCCUAAUAGACACAUUUUUGCAGGCAAUUUCUCCUAAUGUAUCAAAUUACUGCAUGCUCUUUUAAACAAAUAUAUUAUCUUUAAUGCACACUUUCUCCUAUAUGCAUUUUUGUAUGCAGGUUUUGGUUGGAGAACUGCAACACAAAAUUCAGAAAAAUGUGAAUUUCAAAGGACAGCUCCAUUUCAGCUCUCCUAUUAUUUCUCAAGGUGCUAAUUGGGUUGGCAUUAAAAUGCAAAUUGAAUGGAAUGCCCUCCACUACUUCAGACUGUUAGGAUGAUAUUUUAGGGAUAUAAAAGCAUUGUACAGGAAGCACUUUCUUUACAAUGUGGUUACUGAAUAAAAAAUGACGAGUAUGAAAUCAUUUCUUUGAUUUGAAAUGGUUUAAAGAUCAUCUCCACAUUCUUCCUUCUAGCCAUUUUGACAAUUUGCGAUUCUGCUGGGUUUCGUUCCACUUUUAUAAAAAAAAACAAGAAGUGCUUAUUUAUUGUACCUGGCUAUUGCCCAAAGUUAACUUUGAACAUCAAAGGAAAAGCAUAGGAUUUGCAUCCCUCAAAUACAUCAGCUUUUCUGUGUGUAUUGUUAAAAACACCAGUCUUUUAUUUAUUUCUCUCACCCACAGGAAGGAGUUAAAAAAAGAAAAAGCCCAAAAGCCCAAAAUAGUUUGAGGCUUGGUUAAUAACAAUAACAGAUUCUUGGGAAAGAUGAGUGCUUAGGGUUAUUUCCACUCUGGGAAUGAAAUGAACGUAAGGCUGUUUCUUUCCAAGCCUAACAAGAGGAACACCUGGUAUCCCACUCCCCACCCAUGAUUAUAGAUUGUGGACUGUGCUGGAAGGCUGUACAAUUCCAUCAUCUUGGACCAUGGCUUGAGCAUGACACAAAUACGUUUUUACAAGAAUGGGAGCCCCAGGGUAUAACAAUUUUUUUUCUUGGGGCCUUUCCAGACAGUCCUUUUUUUGCAUGAUAAAUGCAAAAUAUUGCAGUAUUUUGUGGCAGGGGUAUAGUAUAUGUUCCAGAUACAUCACUUCACUAGAGCAAGUGUACAACAUGUCCCUGUAACACCACUAUCAAAUAGCAAUACUUGUUUGCUGGGGGUAAUGUACUUAUUCAUUCAACUGGUAUAGUGCACGGAUGUGUAAUAUACAAGUGUAACAAUGGACAGAGAUGUUCUUCUAGAUGUGUCUAUUUCUCCAAACCCAGUUGCUUAAAUUCCAGCUGUGUCUUUGGCAUGUGGCAAUUGGUGGAAAUAGUUUCUCUCAUAUAGAAAAAUGGUUAGCUGUGCUAAGGUGAAGAGCAGAAGGAAGUAGAGGCAUGGUGAUAGGUCAAAGAAGAUUGUGGCCCUUUAACAAUAUAUUUUUUACCUACUAUAUUUCCUGUGUUUAGAAGAAAAAAUCUGGAUCAUAUGUAAAGGAUAAAAAAGAGGGGCGAGAUGCUGAUAUUGAUGCUGAUGACAUCUAGUGGAUGCUGUGAAAAAAGUGGGCAUGAGCAGCACUGACUCUCCAAUAAACUCCUGCCUGGAAUUCAAGUUAAGAGCCAGUCUACAACUUUCUUCUGCCACAUGAGUUGUCUGAACAGCACCAGGGUGGCAGCAACAGCUGCAAAAUUCAGAGCCGUUCCUAUCAUGGCACUGAAGGCUGUAGGAGGGGAAGAUCAUUGUUCCAACCUAAAAUAUGAAAGACUUAAUAGCAGUGAAACACUGUGGAUCACAGCCUUCAUGCUAAAGUUAAUACGGUUUUGUGUCAUUUCUUAAAAUGUCACUGUCAUAAUCCCUCACAUUCUCUUUAGCUAGGUUCCUAAUUUGUGAUCAUGAAAAUGAAAGCUAAUGACUAACUUAAUCUAGAAUUGUAAGCUUCAUGAGCCCUCUAACUAAAUUGUCUCUUUAUCUUUCCAUGUUUCUUUCAGGUCUUGUCCUUCAGAGUCUGAGUGACAGAAAAGUGACUUUGAAUACAUCCAGAAAACAAACAGGGAAAAGAAUAGCAAGUGAAUUUCUGGAGUCCCUAACCUCUACUUUUAG